UACGUAGGUGGCGAGCGUUGUCCGGAUUUACUGGGCGUAAAGGGAGCGUAGGCGGACUUUUAAGUGAGAUGUGAAAUACCCGGGCUCAACUUGGGUGCUGCAUUUCAAACUGGAAGUCUAGAGUGCAGGAGAGGAGAAUGGAAUUCCUAGUGUAGCGGUGAAAUGCGUAGAGAUUAGGAAGAACACCAGUGGCGAAGGCGAUUCUCUGGACUGUAAAUGACGCUGAGGCUCGAAAGCGUGGGGAGCAAACAGGAUUAGAUACA
RNAcentral lists this ribosomal RNA (263 nucleotides) under uncultured prokaryote. Its description in RNAcentral is "partial 16S ribosomal RNA". It matches the Rfam family "Bacterial small subunit ribosomal RNA", at positions 524 to 786 of the family's 1533-position model. The record is from RNAcentral.